ACAUACGACCAUACCCAUUGGAAAACUCGGGAUCCCGUCCGCUCUCCCAUAGAUAAGCCAAUGAGGGCUGGAGUAGUAGUCGGGUCGGUGACGACCGGCGAAUGCCCGGUGUUGUAUGUU
Colletotrichum gloeosporioides is the source of this 120-nucleotide non-coding RNA. The record is from Rfam. Lineage: Eukaryota; Fungi; Ascomycota; Sordariomycetes; Glomerellales; Glomerellaceae.